RNAcentral lists this ribosomal RNA (488 nucleotides) under uncultured bacterium. RNAcentral describes it as "partial 16S ribosomal RNA". It matches the Rfam family "Bacterial small subunit ribosomal RNA", at positions 28 to 507 of the family's 1533-position model. The record is from RNAcentral.
GAUGAACGCUAGCGGGAGGCCUAACACAUGCAAGCCGAGCGGGAUUUGUGGUUAGCUUGCUAACUAACAAUGAGAGCGGCGUACGGGUGCGUAGCACGUGUGCAACCUGCCUUUAUCUGGGGGAUAGCCUUUCGAAAGGAAGAUUAAUACCCCAUAACAUAUUGAUUGGCAUCAGUUAAUAUUGAAAGCUCCGGCGGAUAGAGAUGGGCACGCGUAAGAUUAGCUAGUUGGUGAGGUAACGGCUCACCAAGGCUGCGAUCUUUAGGGGGCCUGAGAGGGUGAUCCCCCACACUGGUACUGAGACACGGACCAGACUCCUACGGGAGGCAGCAGUGAGGAAUAUUGGACAAUGGGUGAGAGCCUGAUCCAGCCAUCCCGCGUGAAGGACUAAGGACCUAUGGUUUGUAAACUUCUUUUAUACAGGGAUAAACCUACUCUCGUGAGGGUAGCUGAAGGUACUGUAUGAAUAAGCACCGGCUAACUCCGUG